This 433-nucleotide ribosomal RNA is filed under the name uncultured bacterium. RNAcentral describes it as "partial 16S ribosomal RNA". It matches the Rfam family "Bacterial small subunit ribosomal RNA", at positions 29 to 507 of the family's 1533-position model. The record is from RNAcentral.
AACGAACGCUGGCGGCAUGCCUAACACAUGCAAGUCGAACGAAACCACCGGGUCUAGUGGCGCACGGGUGCGUAACGCGUGGGAACAUGCACUUAGGUUCGGAAUAACUCUACGAAAGGGGUGCUAAUGCCGGAUCAUGUCUUCGGACCAAGGAUUUAUCGCCCUUGGAUGGGCCCGCGUUGCAUUCGCUAUUUGGUAGGGUAAUAGCCUACCAAGGCGACGAUCCAUAGCUGGUAUGAGAGGAUGAUCAGCCACACUGGGAGUGAGACCCGGCCCAGACUCCUACGGGAGGCAGCAGUGGGGAAUAGAGGACAAUGGGCGAAAGGCUGAUCGAGCAAUGCCGGGUGAGUGAUGAAGGCCUUAGGGUUGUAAUGCUCUUUUACCCGGGAAGAUAAUGACAGUACCGGGAGAAUAAGCUCCGGCUAACUCCGUG